UCGAUUAGAGUUUGAUCAUGGCUCAGAACGAACGCUGGCGGCGCGUCUUAAGCAUGCAAGUCGAGCGGUAGCGCCUCCAAUUAAGCGUCCAACCUAGGGGUUGGGUGUUUAAUUGGAGGCGUGAGAGCGGCGGACUGGUGAGUAACGCGUGGGUGACCUACCUUGGGGAUGGGGAUAGCCGUUAGAAAUAGCGGGUAAUACCGAAUACGUUUGAUUUACUAUGGUAGAUUGAGCAAAGGGGCUACGGCCCCGCCUUAAGAUGGGCCCGCGUCCUAUUAGGUAGUUGGUGUGGUAAAGGCGCACCAAGCCUAUGAUAGGUAGCCGGCCUGAGAGGGUGAACGGCCACAUUGGGACUGAGAUACGGCCCAAACUCCUACGGGAGGCAGCAGCUAAGAAUAUUCCGCAAUGGACGAAAGUCUGACGGAGCGACGCCGCGUGGAUGACGAAGGCCGGAAGGUUGUAAAAUCCUUUUGCCGCUGAAGAAUAAGCAGGGUAGGGAAUGCCCCUGUGAUGACGUUAGGCGGUGAAUAAGCCCCGGCUAAUUACGUGCCAGCAGCCGCGGUAACACGUAAGGGGCGAGCGUUGUUCGGAAUUAUUGGGCGUAAAGGGCGCGUAGGCGGUCUUUUAAGUCUGGAGUGAAAGCCCGCGGCUUAACCGCGGGACUGCUUUGGAAACUGGAAGGCUGGAGUCAUAGAGGGGAGGCCGGAAUUCCUGGUGUAGGGGUGAAAUCUAUAGAUAUCAGGAAGAACACCGAUGGCGAAGGCAGG
This 767-nucleotide ribosomal RNA is filed under the name uncultured bacterium. RNAcentral describes it as "bacterial SSU rRNA". It matches the Rfam family "Bacterial small subunit ribosomal RNA", at positions 1 to 725 of the family's 1533-position model. The record is from RNAcentral.